GCCGCUCCCAGCAAACACUAAGUCAACUCAGCUGCAUUAUCUUGGCAACAGUUAUAUGAUUGGUUGGUUGGCAGAAACCAGUGGGCCAAUUGGGGCUUCAGCACUUUAGAGGGUUAAAAUGGAGAAGCGUGAUUUCUUUUUUUUUUUCCUCCAGGGCUAUGGAAGGGGAAAGGGGCCUUUCAGAUUCAGCCUGAUGGGCAGCUUAGGGAGGGGUGGUUGGCAGCUGCUUCUUGUCGAGGCAUAUUUUCCCACCUCUACCCCACUUUUCCUAAGGCCUAAUCUUGUUUCAUUGAGCUAUGCAUGAAAGGCUCUUUCCCUCUUUGCUUUCCCACCCUUCUAAACUGUGCUGAUGCAGCUAGAUUGAGCCUUGAAGAGUAUAGCUCCAGCCAGCCUGGGAUCAAGCAUUUACUUCCAUUCCAAUCAAUUUUUUAAAACAUACUUUACUAAAUUUCUGCAAAGGCUAACAUAAAAAACAAGAAAAAAAAAGGAAUUGAGAAGGGAAGGGGAAGGUUCAAAAGAAUAAGGAAAAAAGAAAUAGAAAAAAGAUGAAACAAACUCACACAAUAGCACUGGAAUGUUAGUGGCUAUGGAUCACUCAGAAUGGAGAAAUUAGUUUGGAAGUCCCAAAGAAGAUACAAUUAAAGUUGUUGGGGAUGGAUUGAUUUUCUCAAGGCAGUUUAAAGAAGAUUGGGAUGUCAGAAUAGAUCUGGAAGGACCUUGGAGGUCUUCUAGACCAACCCCCUGGUCAAACAGAAGACCCUAUACCAUUUCAGACAGGUGUCUGUCCAGUCUCCAGUGAUGAAGCACCUACAACUUCUGAAAACAGGUUUUGUCAGCCAGCAUCUGCCCACCAAUCAACGCGGUCAGCCGUCACUGCUUCUUCAGAGACAUCAAGUCCACCAUAAUCCUCACCAGAAGCCCUGCUAUGGAUAGAGUUCUAAUGCUGUAUUAUGAAACCUUAUCAAUGAAUAAUGUCUGCACCAGAAAAGGAGCAGCAUCAUGCUUUCUGGGACUGCAGUGAAAGACCCCACAUCAGGGGUGUCAAACUGGUGAUCCGUGGGCCGGAUGCGUCACACUCAGGCCAUGCCCACCCCAUCUCUGCGAAGGGGAAAGACGUUGCAAAAGGUCAUGUGAUGGAAAUGUGACACUGUGAGUUUGACACCUGUGCCCUGCAUGAAUAAAAUUAGUGUGUGCUAGAUUAUCUAGGAGACAAGAAAAUAAAUUAUGCUGAACAUGA
This is a long non-coding RNA of Pantherophis guttatus, 1237 nucleotides long. RefSeq lists it as uncharacterized. Lineage: Eukaryota; Metazoa; Chordata; Lepidosauria; Squamata; Colubridae. The record is from RefSeq and is a predicted model, not a curated record.